GGGGAAUAAACAAAAUGGUCACGUUCCAUCCAUGCAACUACAUGUGGAAAUUGAAAAAGAUAUUCAAAAAGAUUCGUUUUUCAUGGGUCAUAAAAGUUAUUAAAAGAUAAAGUACCACUAUCUAACCAUUUUCCACAAAGUUGAUUGAAACUGUCUAUGAGUGCAAAGCGAGGAAAAGAGAGUAAUACCUAAACAUAGGAUCAAGGGGAUGUUAAUUAUCAUAUAAUAUAAUUAACUGAAAUGAGCAUUGUUUUGGUAUGAAUGUUAUUUGAAAUGGGCAUUGGUCUAUAUAUAUGAAUCUUCAUUGUCAAUGGUUUACACUUAUAAUACACAUGAAACUUUGAAACAUUUAGAGUUUGCAAUAAUCUUAAUUAUUUUUCCAAUACACGUAUUAAUUUUUUUUUUUUUUGCUAACUUGUAAAUAUCAUAUAAAUGAAAAGAGAUUUGCAAAGCAAGAUCUUAGUUUGACA
RNAcentral lists this long non-coding RNA (470 nucleotides) under Brassica rapa (field mustard). RNAcentral's name for it is "long non-coding RNA (BRAP_LNC007498)". Lineage: Eukaryota; Viridiplantae; Streptophyta; Magnoliopsida; Brassicales; Brassicaceae. The record is from RNAcentral.